UAGUAACUAUACACAGUAGAGACGGUACCUAACCAGAAAGCCACGGCUAACUACGUGCCAGCAGCCGCGGUAAUACGUAGGUGGCAAGCGUUGUCCGGAAUUAUUGGGCGUAAAGCGCGCGCAGGUGGUUUAAUAAGUCUGAUGUGAAAGCCCACGGCUCAACCGUGGAGGGUCAUUGGAAACUGUUAAACUUGAGUGCAGGAGAGAAAAGUGGAAUUCCUAGUGUAGCGGUGAAAUGCGUAGAGAUUAGGAGGAACACCAGUGGCGAAGGCGG
This 274-nucleotide ribosomal RNA is filed under the name Streptococcus pneumoniae. Its description in RNAcentral is "partial 16S ribosomal RNA". It matches the Rfam family "Bacterial small subunit ribosomal RNA", at positions 448 to 724 of the family's 1533-position model. The record is from RNAcentral. Lineage: Bacteria; Bacillati; Bacillota; Bacilli; Lactobacillales; Streptococcaceae.